This is a long non-coding RNA of Anolis carolinensis (green anole), 1749 nucleotides long. Lineage: Eukaryota; Metazoa; Chordata; Lepidosauria; Squamata; Anolidae. The record is from Ensembl.
AUGCUAUGGAAUUAUGGGAUUCAAAAAGGGGACAAAAACGACCCAGCUAAUUACUGUCCCAUCAGCCUGCUCUCGGUGGUGGGAAAACUCUACGCUUGCCACUUAUAUAAUAGGUUCCUAGACUGGUUGGACUCCGAAAAAGUAAUAGGUGAGGAACAGGCAGGCUUUAGAAAAGGGAGGUCUACCAUAGACCACUGUAUUGUGCUAAACCACCUUGCAGAAAAAUACCAAAAAUGCCCCUACAAGGGACUAUUUACCGCUUUCAUCGAUCUAAAAGCUGCGUUUGAUUCAGUCCCAAGAAAUUUGCUGUGGCAAAAAUUGCAGGAGACCACAAUCGACAAAAGGUUGCUUUGGUUGAUCAAGAGCUUAUACUCAGACACUACAAUACAAGUAAGAUGUGGUGUGCAAGGCAACCUCUCAAAACCAAUAGCUGUCAAUAGAGGGGUGCGUCAGGGCUGUAUCCUGGCCCCUAUUCUGUUUAAUUUAUACCUGAAUGACUUGGCCGCCCAUGUUUCACUACCAAAUGGACAUCCCCCUAAAAUCUCAUCCACUAAUAUACCCCUAUUGCUGUAUGCAGAUGAUGCUGCCCUCAUAUCCUACACCAUGGUAGGACUCAAGCGAGUGCUGAGGGCAUUCUAUGAAUACUGCGAGAAAAAUCAGCUAAAGAUAAACUACAGUAAAACCAAAAUCAUGAUUUUCUCAAAAAAGCGAGCCAGACAUAAUUGGUAUAUAGGAGAGAACUUAAUACAACAAGUUUCUUCCUUUAAAUACCUGGGGGUGACCUUUCAGGCCUCAGGUUCCUGGGGAUGUCAUCAAAAAAUGGCCAUACAAAAUGCUUUAUCCAGUAGUAAAGCUAUAAUAUGCUUUUUCUACACAAAAGGUGGUCAAUAUAUCCCUGCUGCAGUAAAGGUUUUCCAAGCUAAAGUAACAGCCCAGCUACUUUAUGCAAUUCCCGUCUGGAUCACAGGCUUCUCAUCCAAAGCUGAACAAGUUCAGUCAGGGUUCCUUAGAAAACUGUUCGCUGUCCCCAAUUGUGUUCCAUCUGCUGUUUUAAGACUUGAAUCAGGAACAGUCUCAUUGGAAUCAACAGCUUGGAGAAGAGCCCUAGGAUAUUGGAUUGAGAGGCUAUACAAAGGACCUGAAGCAGGAUAUAUAUAUUUGAUUCAAAAAGACCUCUUCAAAUCCCACCAAAUCAAAGCAUUAAAUGAGAAGUUUAGGCAAUUGGGGCUUUCAGAGAACAUACUGAGGGGUUUUGAGUAUAAAAAUACUGUGAAGAUCUUAGCAGAACGAAUUAGCGACAUAGACAAACAGACCUCAAUGACUCGGGCGCGCUCCACAUGCUCCACAUUGACUCUGGGCCUAACAUUUAAUUCUAUGGGAGGUGCUAAAUAUCUAGAAAAUUUAAAUAUCCCAAAAUUUCGCCUUGCUUUUAGCUGGGCCAGAUUUAAUGCACUCAAAUCAGCCAUACUAGAGGGUAGAUAUAAAGGCACUGAGUAUGAACAAAGAGCAUGCCCUUGCGGGGAGGGUAACGUCGAAACUGUAACAUAUGUACUUUUUAUUUGUACAAUUUACAAAGAUGAUAGAUUAAGAUUAAUAUCCCCUCUACUCACUAAAUGGCCAGGAAGAACACUAAAUUGGUACCGCAGCUGUUUACUGUCCGAUCUUGAUAAAAGGGUAACGGAGCAGGUAGCUAAAUUUCUCUUUUCAGCGGCAAAAAGCCGUAAGGGCUUCAUGAAAAAUCUGUGUUGA